AGGGUUUGAUCAUGGCUCAGAAUGAACGUUGGCGGCGUGGAUUAGGCAUGCAAGUCGCGCGAGAAGGGUUUUAUGCUUGCAUUUGACCCGGAAAGCGGCGAAAGGGAGAGUAACGCGUAGAUACCUACCCCCAGACCCGGGAUAGCGGCGGGAAACUGCCGGUAAUACCGGAUAAUGUCUCCGGACCAAAGGUGUGAUUCCGUCUGGGGAUGGGUCUGCGUCCUAUUAGCUUGUUGGUGGGGUAACGGCUCACCAAGGCCAAGAUGGGUAGCGGGUGUGAGAGCAUGGCCCGUCUCACUGGGACUGAGACACUGCCCAGACACCUACGGGUGGCUGCAGUCGAGAAUCUUCCGCAAUGGGCGAAAGCCUGACGGAGCGACGCCGCGUGCGGGAUGAAGGCCUUCGGGUUGUAAACCGCUGUCAGAGGGGAACAAAUCCAUGAGGGCAAUCCCUGAUGGUUGAGUUAUCCUCAGAGGAAGCGCAGGCUAAGUUCGUGCCAGCAGCCGCGGUAACACGAACUGCGCGAACGUUAUUCGGAUUUACUGGGCUUAAAGAGUUCGUAGGCGGCCUUGCAGGUGAGGUGUGAAAUCCCCCGGCUCAACCGGGGAACUGCGCUUCAAACCGCAAGGCUUGAGGGUGAUAGAGGUGAGCGGAACUCACGGUGGAGCGGUGAAAUGCGUUGAUAUCGUGAGGAACACCGGUGGCGAAAGCGGCUCACUGGGUCUCUUCUGACGCUGAGGAACGAAAGCUAGGGGAGCGAACGGGAUUAGAUACCCCGGUAGUCCUAGCUGUAAACGAUGAGCACUAGAUCGAGGGGACUUCCACAUCUUCUUGGUCGUAGCGAAAGUGUUAAGUGCUCCGCCUGGGGAGU
RNAcentral lists this ribosomal RNA (871 nucleotides) under uncultured bacterium. RNAcentral describes it as "bacterial SSU rRNA". It matches the Rfam family "Bacterial small subunit ribosomal RNA", at positions 8 to 881 of the family's 1533-position model. The record is from RNAcentral.